UACAGAGGUCUCAAGCGUUGUUCGGAUUCAUUGGGCGUAAAGGGUGCGUAGGCGGCGCGGUAAGUCGGAUGUGAAAUCUUGGAGCUUAACUCCGAAACUGCAUUCGAUACUGCCGUGCUUGAGGACUGGAGAGGAGACUGGAAUUUACGGUGUAGCGGUGAAAUGCGUAGAUAUCGUAGGGAAGACCAGUGGCGAAGGCGGGUCUCUGGACAGUUCCUGACACUGAGACACGAAGGCCAGGGGAGCAAACGGG
This 253-nucleotide ribosomal RNA is filed under the name uncultured bacterium. RNAcentral's name for it is "partial 16S ribosomal RNA". It matches the Rfam family "Bacterial small subunit ribosomal RNA", at positions 524 to 776 of the family's 1533-position model. The record is from RNAcentral.